RNAcentral lists this long non-coding RNA (1289 nucleotides) under Gadus morhua (Atlantic cod). RNAcentral's name for it is "lncRNA (ENSGMOG00000031457.1)". The record is from RNAcentral. Lineage: Eukaryota; Metazoa; Chordata; Actinopteri; Gadiformes; Gadidae.
GCACAAUACACAACAUGUAGUGUAUUGUAGUAUGUAUGUAUACAUACUGUGACAAAACAAGACAAUUCUCCCUCCAACCUUACAAAGUUGGGUAUAAAAGACAAAACUGUUUUGUAGCAGCACAAGCUUGAUUUUUAAACUACAUCUGAAACCACCUAAGUUGUGUAUCCGCUUAAAGGGCUGCCGGUUCAAAUGUUAUAUUGCCUAGUGGAAACUUUGUCAUGGUAGCACUAAAAGGAAAAAUAUUAUAUGCUAAUAUAUAUAUUAUGUAUAUGCUAGAAUUGUGCCGUUUUCCAAAGAUAAGGCUUUGUUUUCCAAGACCUUUUCAUUUCUAGUGUCAAUAUUAAAUUGGCAUUUCCUUGUAGUUCUUUCUUGCAGUUAACAUUACUGUGGAAAAAGAGGGACACAGAAAUGGUUGUUGCACUACUCCCUUCACAGAUUAAGGGGCGCAGCAUCCUUAUCCACCAUAGUGAGCUAUGCUCACUUCGACCAUACCAGUGGUUGACAGGGGAGGUUAUUGAGGGCCUGUUUCAUGUUGCUGCCCACACAUUCAAUGUGGUGGACACCGUCUACAUUAUGAAUCACUACUCAGCAGGUGGGAUUUUGUUCAGUGACAGAACUGAACUACCUCGUCACAGUUUACCAAAGCCUUUUGGUCUUGUAGGUAAACUUUGACAACUAUGAAGCUGUUCUGUCAUUUGUGCUAGUCAACGGCAACCACUGGAACUUACUGGUUUGUAAUUAUUUUAUUGUUGGUUUUUUUAUUUGAUACUUUUGUAUUCUGUAUUAUUAGUCUUUUAAUGCACACCACUGAACUAUUAGUGUAAUAUUAAUAGUUAUGUUCCUCUUUGUUCUGUCACAGUACAUUAAUGCAGAAACCAGCACAGUAUUUCUGAUGGAUCCAGCACGAUUGUCAUCAGAGCUUGAGGACUCUGAACAUGCUGCUAAAAGAAUACAGGAAUACUUAAGGAUGCGGAGGACACGCCAUGGCAAAGAAGACUGGUUGGAUAUUAGGUGGAAAGGGGGAGUUAUGAGCCACCCAGUUCAACAGGAUGGAAGUAGCUGCGGUGUCAUUGUUGUCAAGAUGGCAAAAGCAGUGAUGGAGGCAUUUCCUCAGAUCCCAGAUGUUAAAUUUGAGACAUCCAAAAAGGCCAUGAAAAAGGAGAGGAGAGAUCUGGCUCUCGAAAUCCUAAAGGCAUCAGUCUUUGAUGAGCACACUUGUUGCGCAAUGUGUGCAGCCGUGAAGCCUCCGGGAUCUGGACCUCCCAUUACAGACUGGGUGAGUUGUU